AUGCUUCCGUAGGUGAACCUGCGGAAGGAUCAUUA
This 35-nucleotide ribosomal RNA is filed under the name Aspergillus unguis. RNAcentral describes it as "partial 18S ribosomal RNA". Lineage: Eukaryota; Fungi; Ascomycota; Eurotiomycetes; Eurotiales; Aspergillaceae. The record is from RNAcentral.